UUGACCUCGGAUCAGGUAGGACUACCCGCUGAACUUAAGCAUAUCAAUAAGCGGAGGAAAAGAAACCAACAGGGAUUGCCCCAGUAACGGCGAGUGAAGCGGCAACAGCUCAGAUUUGGAAUCUGGCCCCCAGGGCCCGAGUUGUAAUCUGGAGAGGAUGCUUCUGGCGCGGCGCCUUCCGAGUUCCCUGGAACGGGACGCCGGAGAGGGUGAGAGCCCCGUACGGUUGGACGCCUAGCCUUUGUGAAGCUCCUUUGACGAGUCGAGUAGUUUGGGAAUGCUGCUCAAAAUGGGAGGUAAAUUUCUUCUAAAGCUAAAUACCGGCCAGAGACCGAUAGCGCACAAGUAGAGUGAUCGAAAGAUGAAAAGCACUUUGAAAAGAGGGUCAAACAGUACGUGAAAUUGUUGAAAGGGAAGCGCCCGUGGCCAGACUUGUGCCCCGCGGACCACCCGGCGCCCUCAGCGCCGGUGCACUCCGCGGGGCGCAGGCCAGCAUCGGUUUUCCUAGGGGGAUAAAGGCGGCGGGAACGUGGCUCCCUCGGGAGUGUUAUAGCCCGCCGCGCCAUGCCCCUGGGGGGACCGAGGACCGCGCUUCGGCAAGGAUGCUGGCGUAAUGG
RNAcentral lists this ribosomal RNA (617 nucleotides) under Leptographium clavigerum. RNAcentral describes it as "eukaryotic LSU rRNA". It matches the Rfam family "Eukaryotic large subunit ribosomal RNA", at positions 1 to 637 of the family's 3401-position model. The record is from RNAcentral. Lineage: Eukaryota; Fungi; Ascomycota; Sordariomycetes; Ophiostomatales; Ophiostomataceae.